CGGAGAGUUUGAUCAUGGCUCAGGACGAACGCUGGCGGCGUGCCUAAAACAUGCAAGUCGAACGAGGGGGCAACCCCUAGUGGCGAACGGCGGAGUAAGACGUGAGCAACGUGCCCCAAAGUCCGGGACAAACGCAGAAAUGCCAUAAAUACCGGAUGUGGCCUCAACUCGGCAUCGAGAUGAGAUUAAACGGUUUUUCGCUUUGGGAGCGGCUCACGGCCCAUCAGGUAGUUGGAGGGGUAACGGCCCACCAAGCCGACGACGGGUAGCGGGUCUGAGAGGAUGAUCCGCCCGAGUGGGACUGAGACACGGCCCACACACCUACGGGUGGCAGCAGUUGGGAAUCUUGCACAAUGGGGGAAACCCUGAUGCAGCGACGCCGC
RNAcentral lists this ribosomal RNA (383 nucleotides) under bacterium. RNAcentral's name for it is "bacterial SSU rRNA". It matches the Rfam family "Bacterial small subunit ribosomal RNA", at positions 1 to 400 of the family's 1533-position model. The record is from RNAcentral.